Molecule: ribosomal RNA, 552 nt
Filed under: Calonectria sulawesiensis
Lineage: Eukaryota; Fungi; Ascomycota; Sordariomycetes; Hypocreales; Nectriaceae
Description: eukaryotic LSU rRNA
Rfam family: 5.8S ribosomal RNA (bases 171-324)
Source: RNAcentral
UUCCGUAGGUGAACCUGCGGAGGGAUCAUUACCGAGUUUACAACUCCCAAACCCCAUGUGAACAUACCUGUUUCGUUCCCUCGGCGGUGUCCGGCAACGGCCCGCCAGAGGACCCAACAAACUCUUUUGAAUUUUUCAGUAUCUUCUGAGUAAAAAAAACAAUAAAUCAAAACUUUCAACAACGGAUCUCUUGGUUCUGGCAUCGAUGAAGAACGCAGCGAAAUGCGAUAAGUAAUGUGAAUUGCAGAAUUCAGUGAAUCAUCGAAUCUUUGAACGCACAUUGCGCCCGCCAGUAUUCUGGCGGGCAUGCCUGUUCGAGCGUCAUUUCAACCCUCAAGCUCUGCUUGGUGUUGGGGAUCGGCAAGGCGUCCUCCGGGUCGCGCCGUCCCCCAAAUAUAGUGGCGGUCUCGCUGUAGCUUCCUCUGCGUAGUAAUACACCUCGCUCUGGAGUCUCGGUGCGACCACGCCGUAAAACCCCCAACUUUUUUCUGGUUGACCUCGAAUCAGGUAGGACUACCCGCUGAACUUAAGCAUAUCAAUAAGCGGAGGAAA